GACGAACGCUGGCGGCGUGCUUAACACAUGCAAGUCGAACGGAAAGGCCCUGCUUUUGUGGGGUGCUCGAGUGGCGAACGGGUGAGUAACAAGUGAGUAACCUGCCCUUGACUUUGGGAUAACUUCAGGAAACUGGGGCUAAUACCGGAUAGGAGCUCCUGCUGCAUGGUGGGGGUUGGAAAGUUUCGGCGGUUGGGGAUGGACUCGCGGCUUAUCAGCUUGUUGGUGGGGUAGUGGCUUACCAAGGCUUUGACGGGUAGCCGGCCUGAGAGGGUGACCGGCCACAUUGGGACUGAGAUACGGCCCAGACUCCUACAGGAGGCAGCAGUGGGGAGUAUUGCACAAUGGGCGGAAGCCUGAUGCAGCAACGCCGCGUGCGGGAUGACGGCCUUCGGGUUGUAAACCGCUUUCGCCUGUGACGAAGCGUGAGUGACGGUAAUGGGUAAAGAAGCACCGGCUAACUACGUG
This 468-nucleotide ribosomal RNA is filed under the name uncultured bacterium. RNAcentral describes it as "partial 16S ribosomal RNA". It matches the Rfam family "Bacterial small subunit ribosomal RNA", at positions 28 to 507 of the family's 1533-position model. The record is from RNAcentral.